Long non-coding RNA from Melospiza melodia melodia, 3977 nucleotides. RefSeq lists it as uncharacterized. The transcript has 4 exons. The record is from RefSeq and is a predicted model, not a curated record. NCBI's taxonomy places the organism in Eukaryota, Metazoa, Chordata, Aves, Passeriformes, Passerellidae.
CGGAUCCCACCGCACCCCCGGCAUCCCCCCGGCAGCCCCCCGGGCACUCACAGGCUCCACUGAGCCUUCGCUCACUCUCUGCAAUGUGUACAUAGAGGGAUGAAGUUCAAUCACUUCAAAAGCCCCACAGAUUCAACCCACAGCAGCCUCUGGGGCUGUAAUUGUUAUGCUAAUGUAGGAACCCGGGAAGGGUGGCUGUGGUGAACUCAUCAGCUGUUCGUGCAGUUCGAAGCCCUGGGCUGAGACAAAGCCAAGCAGGAGGAGGUUUUGUGGAUCUUCCUUCGAGGCACAUCACAAAUCCCGGCUGGCAAGUGGGAAAUCACCCUUGUUCUGCUCCUGCCGUCCUCGUCCUGCAGAGCUCAGCCCAGCCACCUUGAGCCAAGGCUUGAUUCCAGACAGACUGAAAAUAAAAAAAGGCUCCUUGUAAGGACAAGCGAGGAGUGCUGUGCACUUUGUCUGGGGGAGAUAAGAUCACAGUCACAGAGGCAGCAGUAGCAUUUUGCAGCAAAGACUCCACUGGCACCCUCAGGGCUGGAAAAGGGGCUGGAGGAGCUGUUCUCCACAUUGCUCUCCACCCACUGCAGGUGACUUGAGCACUGCUCACCAGCUCUGCUGCCAAGCUUCAGCAGGGGGCUUCAAAAACAAACCCCACAUCUGUGACAGAAGCGUCCUUAAAUCUGGAAGAGGUUUGGAGCAGAACAGAGCUUUUAGAAAAUAUACAUAUUUAUAAGAACCUUCAAAAUAAAGGGAAGUCACGUGGCUUCCAGCUCUUCUGUGAUCCUGCCCAGAUGUUUGCUCCAAAGGCAGCUCCGUGUCUGUUCCAUGCUGAGCUCUGAGCCUGCAGAGGGCACAGGGAAUGGUGUGGUGGUGGCUUCACCACCACAAACCAGACAGAAAUCAGCCUCUUGAGUACUCAUGAGUCCUACACUGGCUCAUCUGCCCCUCAGUGCCCAGGAUCUGUCUGCUGGGGCAGCUGAUGCUGACCUGCUCUGGUUUCAACACAAGACACAAGUCUCUUGAGCAAGCUUUGUAAGCAAACUGUGCAGUCAGCAGUGAUGUCUGCCCACCCAAAUCCUACCCUGCAAUCGUUCAAACCAAACCAAACCAAACCAAACCAAACCACAACAAUCCCCAAAAACAUUCAAACAUACCAAAAAAAUCAACCUGAUCAACUUGUACCUAUUCUUCAAAUUUUGUUGCUGUUUAAGAGUUUGAAUUGUUGCCUCCCAUAAGGCUGCUCUGAUUCAUGGAAACACUCAGGCAUUGUGUGCUUGGUAAAUCCCAGCAGAUAUUUCCACUCAGAUUUUGCAGCAACAGUUAAAACCCUGACUGCCUCAGAAUACAGAUCAGGGCACACACCAACCAGCUUCAUUUCAAUGUGUUCCUCCUAUGGAGCAGCCAGGCUCACUCAAGGCAUCUGUGAGGUUUAACAGUAAAACUAAAAUGACCCCCCAAACCAGGAAUUAUGCAUGCAAUAUAUUUCCCACUGAGAUAAGCAAAUGGAAAUUGGCUGAGCCAGGCAUUUCAUCCAGCUCACAGCUGACAAGGGGUCAUUCCCUGCAGUGUAUUUAGCAAUGAUUUGUCCAGCCUAGUGUUGAUUAUCUAAAACAAAACAGAACUGCCUCCAUUUCUCCAGGGGGAUUGUUUGCAGCCAAACUCAUUGGCAAAAGGCUUCUCCUAACAUCUUGUUUUCCUCCACAGCCCAGCCUUCAGCCACACUAAUUCCAAACCCAUUUCUGUGGGUUAUCCCCAUGCAGCCAUUUUGUACUGAGCUACAUCUUCUUGGCUUUCUUUAAUCAUCACUUAGUCAGGCUUACAGCUUUAAUUCUUGUCAUCUUGUGCCAUUGCCCAAUUCCUUCCUCUCAGUCACUGCAGCUGUUCUUUGUAGCCCCUCCAAUUUGGCUACUGCCUCCUGGUAUGAGAUCUAGCCCAGCAUGAACAAGUUUGGCUUCUCCCAGGAGAGGCAGAUCAAUACCUUCACAGCUGGGCUGGGUGGAGGAUUCCUUCCAGCUCCACAGAGCUCCUGCAGAACAAAGAUCUGAGCAGUUCAGGGAAGCAGCAGCUGGAGCACUGACAGGGACUCUUCCACACCUGCAGGAAUACAAGAGCCAUCUCAGGUAUUGUGCCUCAGCCUCCCCACAGAAAAUAUCCCACAGGGGAGAAGAGCCACAACAAAGCAGUGUCACCCCCAAUUACCAUUUUCCAGGGAUGAGAGGGGACAAAAGGAAUGGAUGAUUUGCACUUUUUGCUCCUUAAGACAGAAGAAAGCCUUUGUCUCCUUACCAAGGGCCCCAAUAUCAGCAUCAGCUGUGCCAAUAACAAGCUGUGUUAUUACCUCUGCUGUACAAAGCAAUUUGGUUUUUAUUGACCACUCACCAUACAGGGCACUACAACACUCUCCCCUCAUUAGAGCCUGUCAGUCAGAAGGCAAAGGAAGGCAAAAGCAGAUUUAAGGAGAAGGCAGCUCUUUGCAGUCAUGAAGAUAACCUUGCUUGUGCAAAAGCAUUGGCAGCAGGCAGCCAGGAGUGCAAUGAGGAGCUGCAAAUGAUCAGACAGCUGGGAAUGUCAGACACUGCAAGAAAAACCUCAGUGCAGGUAGAACAAUUUACCUCCCCUGGGCAGGAAAACACCUACAAAAUUACAUCCAAACACACAACACUGAGGAAAGUUUUGUUAGCUGUGGUUUUGUUUCUUCUGCUCCCUGUUAAGUCUGCCAGAUGACCUUUGCUUGCAAUAGACUUCAAAUACUGGGAGCUCUUCUUUGUGUCUCCUUGGAGAAAAUGGUCAGGAAUCAAUUUUUCCACUGAUAAUUUCAUUUGGUCUCCUUCUCAAGUGAGUGUUCCCACAAUUCAGCCCCACCUUACCCACUCCACCCUUAACAUUUCACCUUUCCUUAUGGCUGAGUGCAGGCAGCUCUGGGGAUGAGUCUCAGCUGCUGUCAGGGAAUGCCAAGGGGGAAUGGGAAUGUUUUAAGGCCAAAUACACAACAGACAGAAUAUGCAGCUGGAGAAUUUGGAGAAACCUGCAUUAAAGAGGUUUAGGCCACUCCAGUGCAACAACAGCAACCACCUGCAUCAGGAAUAUUUGUUCUAACCUACAGUGAGGCAUUAAGAAAUCCAAAUUCUAAGCACUUUUUAUAUUUUGCUCUCUGGUAAAACACUCACCCAGAGGCUUGAGGCAGUGCAGAAGUGGCUGCUUGGGAGGUGCAGGGUAGAGAAGAGAGGCUGCUUCAGGCAUUACCCCUCGGUGGAAGGAUGAGAACCACAGGCUGAACUGGAAGAAACAUCUUGAAGACUGGAAUUUGCUGCUGAAGGAUGUAUGCCUUUGAGGGAUGGGGGAUCAUCAGGAAGAACACUUGACAGGAAUGCUGUGCCCUCCUCAUCCCUGCCAACCCAACCAGUCUGCAGAAUUGAAUGCAAGGUUAGAUCCCAACACCUCAGGAAGAGCACAACUACAGAGUCCCAAAUCUCCAUCAGUCUAACUUAAAGAAGAUCAAGGACUUGCUCCUCUGAGAUAGUGUGGCCAGAUCCACCAGAGACACGACUUUAAAAGUAACCCUCUAUCCUUAAUUUGUAUCUGGACACCAAGGUUGAGAGCACCAGCUCCAUCUGCCCUCACCUGGCAGCAGAGAACACACAGACCCCAGGGCUGGGGAGCAGCAACAAGCCCAGAUGCUCCUGAAUUCCUGCCUGCCCCAGACUGCAGGAGACACAGGGCUGGGAGAAACACUUGUUCAAGAGUCAGUCCACAAACACUGCCUAAGUUCAGCUAGCAAAAGUAAAAGAGCAGCUGAGCACACACAAACACAGCUCCAGUACCUGGAGCUCAAGAAAAGGCACCUCAGUGAACCUCACUGGGUCACUGACAGGAAAACUUUUCCCUUCAACAGAAGUUUUUCCACACAAGUUUUGUGAUUUGGCCCUGAAUCCAUGAUACAGAUGUUGAUGGCUGGAAACAGAAGUUGAGCAGAGGGAAAU